GGGUCAAUGAUGAGAAUUCAUAUUGUCUCAAAGAGAGAUGAUGACCUAAAAAUCAUGCUCAAUAGGAUUACGCUGAGGCCC
Molecule: small nucleolar RNA, 81 nt
Organism: Ailuropoda melanoleuca (giant panda)
Lineage: Eukaryota; Metazoa; Chordata; Mammalia; Carnivora; Ursidae
Gene: SNORD115
Rfam family: Small nucleolar RNA SNORD115
About the family: HBII-52 is a member of the C/D class of snoRNAs, which contain the C (UGAUGA) and D (CUGA) box motifs.
Source: Ensembl